UGAAGGCACAGUUGCAGGAUCUUCUGGACAAGGUUUUGUGCGACCGAGUGUGUCACCUUGGGGAGCACCGGUCUUAUUUGUUAAGAAGAAGGAUGGAUCACUUCGCUUGUGCGUCGACUAUCGUGAACUUAAUAAAGUCACGAUCAAGAACAAGUAUCCAUUACCGAGGAUUGAUGAUCUAUUUGAUCAGCUCCAGGGAUCUUGUGUAUACUCCAAGAUCGACUUGCAGUCGGGAUACCAUCAGUUGAGGAUCAGACCUGAGGAUGUAUCGAAGACGGCUUUUAGAACACGGUAUGGAUAUUAUGAGUUUACCGUUAUGCCGUUUGGGCUUACUAAUGCCCCAGCAGCUUUUAUGGAUUUAAUGAACCGUGUUUUCAAGCCUUAUUUAGAUAGAUUUGUCGUGGUGUUCAUCGACGACAUUUUGGUCUAUUCCCGAAGUGAUGUGGAUCACGAGGAACACUUGAGACUUGUACUUCAAGUACUUCGGGAAAAGAAACUCUAUGCCAAGUUGAAAAAGUGUGAGUUUUGGCUUAGAGAGGUGGCGUUUUUUGGCCAUGUGAUUUCAGGAUCAGGCAUAGCCGUGGACCCGAAAAAAAUUGAAGCUAUCAAAGAUUGGCCGAGGCCGACGAGUGUGACCGAGAUACGGAGCUUCAUUGGUUUGGCCGGCUAUUACCGACGGUUCGUCGAGGGAUUUGCAAAGUUAUCUACUCCCCUCACAAGACUCACGCAUAAGGGCACCAAGUUUAUUUGGAAUGACGCGUGUGAAAGGAGCUUCCAAGAGUUGAAGCAGAGAUUGACGACCGCCCUGAUCCUAACCUUGCCGACUGCUGGAGCAGGGUAUGUGAUUUAUAGUGAUGCUUCCUUUAAUGGAUUGGGCUGUGACUUAAUGCAGGACGGGAAAGUGAUCGUGUAGCACACUGGACCUUUGCAAAUUGCGAGGUUCGAGUGUUCGAUUUGUAUUCCGAACUUUUCCACACUUGGUAGAGGGCCGUCGAUGGUAUACCGGUCUAAAAGUUCGAUAUCGAGAGUUUUGGCUGAGUCAUGAGAGUUUUACUCUCGGAGACCGGUCCCUGAUAGGAGAGACCGGUCCCCCAGUGAACAGUGCUGCGUGGCCGGCGAGGCAACCGGUCCCUGGCAGUCGAGACCGGUCCCCGAGCGCGUCUACGCGGGGAGAGACCGGUCCCUCGCAGGGAGAGACCGGUUCCCGAACGUUGGAUUUUUGGGGGCAGGCUGAGAGACCGGUCCCAGGUCGGGGAGACCGGUCCCUCUGGGCGAAAACUGCCUAGACCGGGCUGAUGUAAAUUUGAGUUUUUGAGGGGCCUAUGUGGAUUUUGUUACUUUAGAGGCUAUAAGCAGCCUCUCCUCCCCUCUCACUCUCAUUUUCUCUCCCUCACACUCUUCCUACACUUCUAGAGAGAGAAAGGGAAGGAGAAGAAGGAGAAGGAGAGGAGAAGAGCUUGCUUGGAGGCCUUGGAGCACCAUCUUCUUCCUCAUUUCCCACCUUUGGAGGCUUGGAGCUUGCGGUUGGAGCUUUGUGGAGGAUCAAACUUCAACCCUACUUGGUUUUGAGCUUGGAUUGGGGCUUCUCUUGAGGUUGGUAGCUUGUAAUCCCCAUUUGUUACAUGCUUUCCUAGGUUUUACUAGAUGAAACCCUAGAUUUUGGGAUUUAGGGUUUAUUUUGGGGGUUUUUGAAUUUGGGGGCUUUGGAACCAAAUUGAUGGGUUUAGAACCUUUGUUUAGGUUAGAUUGGAAGGACUCUAACUCCCAUUUGGAGAUCGUGAGAGCCUUCUUCGCAAUCGGUAAGUUUUCUGCAACCCUAGCUUGAGGAGCUUAAUGAUUGAGUUAUUUGCUCUUCGUUUCGUUUGGGUGACCCUAUUUUUGAUGUUUCUAGGGUACUAGGGAGCUUGUGGAUACCUUCGUUCGGCGAAACAAAGAAGUUGAUUUUGGUGGGUUUGACUUCAUGGAAAUAGGGCAAAAUGGCCCCUAUGCCUUCUAAACUUUUGUAAAAUAGUUUUGAAUGCAAAUUCAUGCUAAAUAUGACUCAUGUGAAUUUUAGAACACUUAAUAUGCAUGCCUCAUAUAUCGUAAAAUUUGUACUCCAUAUAUUAGAGCUAUAUGUGUAGAUUGCAUGCAUUGUGAAUAGUGCGUGGUUUCGCAAGUUGAGAACAUGUCUCCAUGCUAGAAUUGAGUGAACUAUGCAUCAUGAACAUAUUAUUGCCAUGCUUGGGACUCGUGAACAAAAGUGUCAUAAAGGGGCACUUAGGAUUAGUAAACUAUGAAACUGCAACAUAGAGACAUAUUGAUAGGUCACUACUUAUCCGCUACAUUCCAUGUUAGAGACAUGAUGACAUAGGGAUAGGCCAUUGGGAUACUUGACACAUUCCAUGUUAUUAGACAUGAGGACUUGGUACUUGCGAUAGAUCGUUCGACUACUUGCCAUUGUGCUCAUUCGCACAUGCUUGUGAGGGUCGCUCCCUACAAGCCGGCACUCAGGAGAUAGCCAUCGCGAUUCAUAUUCGCCGUGCGGGAUUGGGCGCCGAAGUGGAUUGCCGUGGGCCAGGCUCAUUCCUAGGGUGGGGAUGUUGACUACCACGGGGCCAUUAGGCUCGGCACCGGCCAGACAGCCUACGGGUGGGUCUCAGGGCCAUAGACAGCCUUCGGGUGGGUCUCUUCAGAUUUGACUUGAGUAUUCAUUAUAACAUGUGGACAGAUGAUGACUUAGAGUAUUAUUUGGACAUUGACUAGAAUGGUAAACAACGGAACUUUACUAUUUCGCAUUGUGAACAUUAUGAUAGUUGGAGACUUUUACUUCAUGCAUAGUUGCUUCAUACUUAUGCUAAUUACGCUAAGUAGAGAUAUCAUGUUGUAGUAGGUUACAUCUUUUCUACUUCCCUUUUGUUUUUCUACUUUUAUAGUCACUGACAUCUUUUAUAGCUUUGGGCCUUGUGGUGCAUUCACUGAAGUCAGUAAUUGCCCACUGGGAACUAUUUUUAAUAGUUCUCACGCCCCUGUUUUAUGGUUUCCUUUUCAGAGCCUUCUGCACCGCCGGAGGCACGGGAUCGCGGCAAGGGGAUCGCUUAGCUAGCUAGCGAGGAGCGGUACUCUGCCUAGGUGGUUUACUCUUUUUUUUUGUAGUGAGAGAGAGUGAGAGUUUCUGUAUCCAUGUAUAGAGACCACCUAUGUAUCUACUUUUAGCACUUGCAUUUGGGACUUCCUAUUGUCUUUACUUUAUAUCUUAUUUAGUGGAUUUACCGUUUAUCCUUAUCCUUGGUUGUAGCAUUUAGACAUUUAUUAUGCUCUAAUACUCCUAGAUGUCUUUUAUUAUUGCUUUCAUUAUUGUUGUUUAGACGCCUUAUACGUUUUAGACGUAUGGCGGGUCUGGGCACGUGCCGGGCAGGCUUCCGCUGGGUCCCGGGGCGUGACAGAUCGCGUAUGCGUCUCGCCAAUUGAAGGAUUAUGAACGGAAUUACCCUACUCACGACUUGGACUUAGCGGCCGUGGUCUUUGCAUUGAAGCUAUGGUGCCACUAUUUAUACGGCAAGCGAUGCGAAGUAUAUACGGAUCACAAGAGUUUAAAGUAUUUAUUCACUCAGAAGGAGUUGAACUUGAGGCAGCGCAGAUGGUUGGAGCUACUCAAGGAUUAUGAUUUGACGAUACUUUACCACCCGGGCAAGGCUAAUGUGGUGGCGGAUGCGCUAAGUAGGAAAUCGACUGAGAACUUAGCGAUGCUUGUGGUUACUCAACCGCCGUUGAUCGAGCAGAUAGAGCGGUUGGAGUUCGAGGUGGUGGCUCCUGAUACACCUUUGAGACUGAUGACUUUGGUGGUGAAAUCUACACUUUUGGAAAGGAUUAAAGAAAAGCAAGCUUCCGACUCGGAGUUGCAAAAGAUUCGAGCUAAGAUGGUUGAUGGUUGCACCGGUGACUUCACUUUAGACGGUGAUGGAUUGAUGCGUUUCCGCGGACGACUUUGUGUACCGGCGAACUUGGGCAUUAAAGAGGAUAUUCUUCAAGAAGCACAUCGAGCACUGUAUGCUUUGCAUCCGGGAGGCACCAAGAUGUACAAGGACUUGAAGUUGCUUUAUUGGUGGCCCAGGAUGAAAAAGGAUGUUGGUGAGUUCGUUGCUAGAUGUUUAACUUUCCAACAGGUGAAGGCUGAGCACCGAGUUCCUGCGGGGAAGCUGCAGAGCCUACCGAUUCCAGUGUGGAAGUGGGAAAAGAUCACCAUGGACUUCGUGAUGGGAUUGCCUCGCUCACAGGCCAGGCAUGACGCUAUUUGGGUGAUCGUGGAUAGACUAACAAAAUCGGCACAUUUCAUACCUAUCCACACUACUUGGACUGGUGAGAGACUUGCACAGGUUUAUUUGGAUGAGAUUGUGCGAUUGCACGGGGUACCUACUUCUAUAGUAUCGGAUCGAGAUCCUUGUUUUGUAUCCCACUUUUGGCGGAGCUUACAGGACGCUUUGGGUACGCGCUUGGAUUUCAGCACUGCUUUCCACCCCCAGAGUGACGGUCAGUCAGAGCGUACUAUUCAGACUCUCGAGAACAUGCUUCGAGCUUGUGUGAUUGACUUCCAGGGAGGAUGGUCGCAGCAUCUACUGAUGGCAGAGUUUGCUUAUAACAAUAGUUAUCAAGCAAGCAUCAAGAUGGCACCGUUCGAGGCACUCUAUGGACGGAAGUGUAGAUCGCCACUUUAUUGGAGUGAAGUUGGUGAGAGAUUGGCUUUAGGCCCUGAUGUGCUCCAUGAAGCAGAGGACAAGGUUCGCAUUGCUCGGGAGCGAUUGUUGACGGCCCAGAGUAAGCAGAGGAGUUAUGCUGACAGGCGGCGACGAGACUUAGAGUUUCAGAUUGGAGAUCACGUCUUCUUGAAAGUCUCGCCGACUCGAGGAAUUAGAAGAUUUGGAAUCCGGGGCAAGUUGAGCCCCUGAUUCAUUGGACCGUUUGAGGUUUUGGAGCGUGUAGACCCGGUAGCGUAUACUUGCUCUACCGCCGAACCUAUCGGGUGUACACAACGUAUUCCAUGUAUCGGUCCUUCGGAAGUACAUCCACGACCCGGCUCACAUGUUGGACGCCACUCCUUUGGAGCUCAGGGAUGACUUGAGCUUUGAGGAGCAACCUUUGAGGAUUUUGGCUCGCGAGGUAAAACGAUUGCGGAACCGUGAGAUUCCCUACGUGAAGGUGCUUUGGAGCAACCACGACGAGCGCGAGGCCACUUGGGAGUUGGAGAGCGCAUUGCAGGAGCGCUAUCCCCAUCUUUUUCGGAUGGAUGCUUGAGGUACUUCACUUCUUGAGUUUCGCGGACGAAACUCCUUUUUAGGAGGGGUGAAUGUAACACACUGGACCUUUGCAAAUGGCGAGGUUCGAGUGCUUGGAUGUAUUUCGAGCCUUUCCACACUUGGUGGAGGGUUGUAGGAUAUUUUUCGACCUAAAAAGUUCGAAAACCUGAGUUUUGGUUUAGUCCUGAGAGUUUUUACUCUCGGGGACCGGUCCCUGAAGGGAGAGACCGGUCCCCCAGUGAGCAGUGUUGCGGCAGCCUUGAGGCAACCGGUCCCUGGCAUGCGAGACCGCUCCCCGAGCGUGCCUUCGCAGAGAGAGACCGGUCCCGCGCAGGGAGAGACCGGUUCCCUAACAUUGGUUUUCCGGGUUCACAGCGAGAGACCGGUCCCUGCUGGGGAGAGACCGGUCCCUCUGGGCGAAAACUGCCCAGAUCGAG
This 5710-nucleotide long non-coding RNA is filed under the name Ananas comosus (pineapple). RNAcentral's name for it is "long non-coding RNA (ACOM_LNC038883)". The record is from RNAcentral. Lineage: Eukaryota; Viridiplantae; Streptophyta; Magnoliopsida; Poales; Bromeliaceae.